ACGCUAGCUACAGGCUUAACACAUGCAAGUCGAGGGGAAACGACAUCGAAAGCUUGCUUUUGAUGGGCGUCGACCGGCGCACGGGUGAGUAACGCGUAUCCAACCUGCCCACCACUUGGGGAUAACCUUGCGAAAGUAAGACUAAUACCCAAUGAUAUCUCUAGAAGACAUCUGAAAGAGAUUAAAGAUUUAUCGGUGAUGGAUGGGGAUGCGUCUGAUUAGCUUGUUGGCGGGGUAACGGCCCACCAAGGCGACGAUCAGUAGGGGUUCUGAGAGGAAGGUCCCCCACAUUGGAACUGAGACACGGUCCAAACUCCUACGGGAGGCAGCAGUGAGGAAUAUUGGUCAAUGGACGAGAGUCUGAACCAGCCAAGUAGCGUGCAGGAUGACGGCCCUAUGGGUUGUAAACUGCUUUUAUAAGGGAAUAAAGUGAGUCUCGUGAGACUUUUUGCAUGUACCUUAUGAAUAAGGACCGGCUAAUUCCGUGCCAGCAGCCGCGGUAAUACGGAAGGUCCGGGCGUUAUCCGGAUUUAUUGGGUUUAAAGGGAGCGUAGGCCGGAGAUUAAGCGUGUUGUGAAAUGUAGACGCUCAACGUCUGCACUGCAGCGCGAACUGGUUUCCUUGAGUACGCACAAAGUGGGCGGAAUUCGUGGUGUAGCGGUGAAAUGCUUAGAUAUCACGAAGAACUCCGAUUGCGAAGGCAGCUCACUGGAGCGCAACUGACGCUGAAGCUCGAAAGUGCGGGUAUCGAACAGGAUUAGAUACCCUGGUAGUCCGCACGGUAAACGAUGGAUGCCCGCUGUUGGUCUGAAUAGGUCAGCGGCCAAGCGAAAGCAUUAAGCAUCCCACCUGGGGAGUACGCCGGCAACGGUGAAACUCAAAUG
This 884-nucleotide ribosomal RNA is filed under the name uncultured bacterium. RNAcentral describes it as "bacterial SSU rRNA". It matches the Rfam family "Bacterial small subunit ribosomal RNA", at positions 33 to 907 of the family's 1533-position model. The record is from RNAcentral.